Molecule: long non-coding RNA, 1044 nt
Organism: Lutra lutra (Eurasian river otter)
Lineage: Eukaryota; Metazoa; Chordata; Mammalia; Carnivora; Mustelidae
Exons: 3
Source: RefSeq, a predicted model, not a curated record
CGGUGAGCUGAGGAGAGGACGCAGUUGGCAAAAAGGGGCAGCAGGAACCAAAGAAGAAACGACCAGAAUGCAGACCAGCGGAGCCAGAGGCACGGGGCAGAAGGGGCCCAUAAGGAUGGAGCUGGAGGGUAUAGUGGAUAUGAAGACACAGAUCCCAGGGUUGUUAAGACCAAGGAGAUCAUACACACAAAAAGGCCACCUUGCCUGACAUCCACAGAUUCUGGAAUCUGUAGGGGAGACGAAGGCGUGGAACUUUAUUCUCUCCAGUGUUAAUUUCAAUCACCACUUCAAAGGGAAAAGCUAACUAGAGAACCAACUGGUCUUUUUUGCUUUAGAUUCUGGGCUUUGCUGGGACUACCUACUCACAGUGAGAAUCCCCAGACUAAGGGGGGGUGGGGGUGGACCGGUGAGCUGUGAGGGGUGUUCCAGGAAAUUAAUCAAGCACACAUAAAAAAAAGUCAACUCUAAGACUCACAUGAGAUGAUUUUGGGAGCCAGCAGAACAUGCCUGACCUUAAUUCACUAAUAGCCCAAUAUUUAAUUCAGUCACUGCUGAGAGAGACAUGAUUGUUUUGUAAACAAUACGGUAAGUAUACUUGCUACCGAAGAAGCACCACACACGACUGGCAUUGGACCAGGUUUCUUGCCAAACUUCUCACUCUGUAAAGUCUGCAGGAAUUUCUAGCUACCAUCCCUUAUCACCUGUAACCUUGAUCACAGUCCUACUCAUCACACGCAUCCCACCUGCAUUUCCCGCUAUUUUAUCAGCAAAGCUCCAGGAACUUUAAACAGAGCAACCCUAUACUUGAAAAGAUCUGUCAGAAAGUAUGACAUCAAGCUUUGGUUUGCUUGGCCCUGAAAUGAUGUUCAAUACAGAAAUAACUAACUUUAAAUACUCAGGUGGAAACUCAUUUCUCUGCCAGGGCUUGUGGUCAGGGAGUGCCUCUAAAGAGAAGUGGAAUUGGGGCACCUGGGUGGCUCAGUGGGUUAAAGCCUCUGCCUCUGCUCAGGUCAUGAUCUCAGGGUCCUGGGAUUGAGCCCUGCA